RNAcentral lists this ribosomal RNA (253 nucleotides) under uncultured bacterium. RNAcentral describes it as "partial 16S ribosomal RNA". It matches the Rfam family "Bacterial small subunit ribosomal RNA", at positions 524 to 776 of the family's 1533-position model. The record is from RNAcentral.
CACGUAGGGCGCAAGCGUUGUCCGGAAUUAUUGGGCGUAAAGAGCUCGUAGGCGGUCUGUUGCGUCUGCUGUGAAAACCCGGGGCUUAACCCCUGGCUUGCAGUGGAUACGGACAGACUAGAGGUAGGUAGGGGAGAAUGGAAUUCCCGGUGUAGCGGUGAAAUGCGCAGAUAUCGGGAGGAACACCAAUGGCGAAGGCAGCUCGCUGGGACGGUACUGACGCUGAGGCGCGAAAGCGUGGGGAGCAAACAGG